AAGGCCCUAGCUUAAUUAAAGCAUCUGGUUUGCAUUCAGAAGCUAUAGGUUAAUGUCCUGUUGGUCUUA
Molecule: transfer RNA, 69 nt
Organism: Cathartes aura (turkey vulture)
Lineage: Eukaryota; Metazoa; Chordata; Aves; Accipitriformes; Cathartidae
Rfam family: tRNA
About the family: Transfer RNA (tRNA) molecules are approximately 80 nucleotides in length. Their secondary structure includes four short double-helical elements and three loops (D, anti-codon, and T loops).
Source: Rfam